CUGAAGGGACGGUAGUGCCCACUGCUUUCAGGGUAGCUGUGAGGAUGGUAGAACGGUGACGUACACUUCAUUUAUGCUGUAGGUCACUUGUUUCACUAUCCACCACUAUCCCCAGAUCAUCUG
MicroRNA precursor from Cricetulus griseus (Chinese hamster), 123 nucleotides. The record is from Ensembl. NCBI's taxonomy places the organism in Eukaryota, Metazoa, Chordata, Mammalia, Rodentia, Cricetidae.